Molecule: long non-coding RNA, 822 nt
Organism: Xiphophorus couchianus (Monterrey platyfish)
Lineage: Eukaryota; Metazoa; Chordata; Actinopteri; Cyprinodontiformes; Poeciliidae
Exons: 2
Source: RefSeq, a predicted model, not a curated record
AAUCCGUCCUACUAUUCAGGGGAAUAACGUCAGUGGGAAACAGCUCAGGUGUGGUUACUUCCUGCUCUGACCUGGGGAACUCUGUGCCCUUUCAACCAGUCAUUAAGCUUCUACUCAAUAAGCAAAAAUUAUAUUAUUUAUUUUACAUUGAAGGAGUUAUCCUGCUCUUCUCUGAAAAUUGUAGCAUUGUAGCACCUGGUGUCCAUCUACUCUUCAAUGAUAAGGACAAAAGUGGUGGAAAAAAUCCAUGUUAAGAGUUGGGAUCCAACAAUAAUCUGCCAGCAGAUGUGGAAGCAGACCAAAUACCUUGUGGAUGCCUUCCCAGUGACAUCCCCUGCACCAAGACCUUCAAUCAACUUCAGAGUUUUUCCUCUCACCACCCAUCCCUCCCUCCCCAAAUGUCCCACCAUGGAUACACUGCCUUAAGCGAUUUGGCUGACAGCUCUGCUCUUUCUCCCUCACCAUAAACUUGUCACAACCCCUGCCUCUGCUCUCUUUAGCCUGAGGUGGAGCAGGGUGGUUCUCUCUAUUCCAGUUGCUUUACUGUUUCCAGUUUAUUACUCUUUAGCCCUCUCUAACCAGUUUCACAGUAUAUAAGUCUCUCUUUUAAUAAAUAGCCAUACAUGGUCACCAUUAUGGAGCAACUGUUUACUUAUCUGUUCUUUGCCAAACUCCACCACAACCAUCUAACAUGUUACACUCCUACAAAAAAAUGUGUGGGAGGUUGGAAAACGUUUCACACUGAAGUGGAGGUUCAGUCUUCAGCAGUAAAAUAACCCUAAACUACGGCUAGAGCAACAAUAAAACACUUUAAAUCAUCAA